Molecule: non-coding RNA, 81 nt
Organism: Clostridium sp. CAG:288
Lineage: Bacteria; Bacillati; Bacillota; Clostridia; Eubacteriales; Clostridiaceae
Source: Rfam
AAAGUAAAAAAGCAAAACUAUCGUAAGAUAGUGACGCAAAGCUAUAGGGUCCUAUAUAUAUAUGGAUUGCCAGUUACCAUU